Molecule: unclassified non-coding RNA, 215 nt
Filed under: uncultured fungus
Lineage: Eukaryota; Fungi
Description: sequence contains ITS1
Source: RNAcentral
GUAUUAUUUUAACAUUGUUAACAUUCAAAGACAGUGGUAUGUAAAAGGGCAGGCGUCGGGGGCUUAUUCAGCGCCCGACGUCUGAGUGGUGCACAGGUGUGUGAGAUGUGUCACUUCCGGCGUGCAGCCCCGAGAGGCGCACAGCCAGUUGCGACGGGUGUUUGGGACGCGAGUCCCAUUCACUAAUGAUCCUUCCGCAGGUUCACCUACGGAAA